ACGCUGGCGGCAGGCCUAACACAUGCAAGUCGAGCGGUAGAGAGAAGCUUGCUUCUCUUGAGAGCGGCGGACGGGUGAGUAAUGCCUAGGAAUCUGCCUGGUAGUGGGGGAUAACGUUCGGAAACGGACGCUAAUACCGCAUACGUCCUACGGGAGAAAGCAGGGGACCUUCGGGCCUUGCGCUAUCAGAUGAGCCUAGGUCGGAUUAGCUAGUUGGUGAGGUAAUGGCUCACCAAGGCGACGAUCCGUAACUGGUCUGAGAGGAUGAUCAGUCACACUGGAACUGAGACACGGUCCAGACUCCUACGGGAGGCAGCAGUGGGGAAUAUUGGACAAUGGGCGAAAGCCUGAUCCAGCCAUGCCGCGUGUGUGAAGAAGGUCUUCGGAUUGUAAAGCACUUUAAGUUGGGAGGAAGGGCAGUUACCUAAUACGUGAUUGUUUUGACGUUACCGACAGAAUAAGCACCGGCUAACUCUGUGCCAGCAGCCGCGGUAAUACAGAGGGUGCAAGCGUUAAUCGGAAUUACUGGGCGUAAAGCGCGCGUAGGUGGUUUGUUAAGUUGGAUGUGAAAUCCCCGGGCCCAACCUGGGAACUGCAUUCAAAACUGACUGACUAGAGUGUGGUAGAGGGUGGUGGAAUUUCCUGUGUAGCGGUGAAAUGCGUAGAUAUAGGAAGGAACACCAGUGGCGAAGGCGACCACCUGGACCAACACUGACACUGAGGUGCGAAAGCGUGGGGAGCAAAC
This 745-nucleotide ribosomal RNA is filed under the name uncultured bacterium. Its description in RNAcentral is "bacterial SSU rRNA". It matches the Rfam family "Bacterial small subunit ribosomal RNA", at positions 33 to 773 of the family's 1533-position model. The record is from RNAcentral.